RNAcentral lists this long non-coding RNA (417 nucleotides) under Heterocephalus glaber (naked mole-rat). RNAcentral describes it as "lncRNA (ENSHGLG00000047489.1)". The record is from RNAcentral. Lineage: Eukaryota; Metazoa; Chordata; Mammalia; Rodentia; Bathyergidae.
AAGGCAGGGACUGCAACUCUGUUCCUCUCUGUCCCCAUCGCCCAACAUGAAGCCUGAGCACAGCGGAUAUUUACUAAAUGAAUGGAGCUCUCCUGUCUAAAAGAGGAGUGAAAGAAAUUACAUCCAUGCAAACUGACUCACACUGCAGCUGCUGUCUGCAAGGAAAAAAAGGUGGAAAAAUAAGGCGCUGUCACUGAGCACUAAUAAGCUCAAUGGGAAAGAGUGAUAUCUUCCCUUGCAGAGCUUCUUAACAAUCUAGAAGAGCUGCCAGGAACCUAAGAGGGAGAAGAGAACAUAAGCAACCCUACAAAAUCCAAAAGAGCCUAAAAUACUGUGCCCACUUACGUUAUCAAGAGAAUGACAGAAAUCGGCCAACCUUUAGGCAGUGAGAUUCAAGAGCUGCCUAGAAGGUCCCAG